RNAcentral lists this long non-coding RNA (332 nucleotides) under Cucumis sativus (cucumber). RNAcentral describes it as "long non-coding RNA (CSAT_LNC001629)". The record is from RNAcentral. Lineage: Eukaryota; Viridiplantae; Streptophyta; Magnoliopsida; Cucurbitales; Cucurbitaceae.
UGUGUUUAAGAUGGAAUUAAAGGUUUUGUUAAAAUAUUGAUUUUUUUAUUGUUUUUAUAAAAUUUUAAGUUUUAUAGAUAAAUUUUGAAAUUUUUAUUUUCACCCAAUGAAUGUGAGGUUUUAAUGAUUUUAAAUAAGAAAAUUGAUAAACAACCUUCAAAAUUUAUAAACGUUCAAAGAUGACAUUUAAGUUAAAAAAAAAAAAGAAUAUUUCCCCGUGGACAUCUCUAAUCGGGACGAAGAUCAGGUCAAAAUAUCCGAAUUAGGGCUACAUACCCGGAGGAGAUGACGGAGCUCCACCGGCCUGAAGAUUCCUACAAGCUCCGUUGUCA